CCUACGGGUGGCAGCAGUGAGGAAUAUUGGUCAAUGGGCGGGAGCCUGAACCAGCCAAGCCGCGUGAGGGAAGAAGGUACAGCGUAUCGUAAACCUCUUUUGUCAGGGAACAAAGGCGGGGACUAGUCCCCGGAUGAGGGUACCUGAAGAAAAAGCAUCGGCUAACUCCGUGCCAGCAGCCGCGGUAAUACGGAGGAUGCGAGCGUUAUCCGGAUUUAUUGGGUUUAAAGGGUGCGCAGGCGGCCUGUUAAGUCAGCGGUAAAAGCCCGGGGCUCAACCCCGGCGAGCCGUUGAAACUGGCGGCCUUGAGUGCACACAGGGAUGCCGGAAUUCAUGGUGUAGCGGUGAAAUGCUUAGAUAUCAUGAAGAACUCCGAUCGCGAAGGCAAGUGUCCGGGGUGCAACUGACGCUGAGGCUCGAAAGUGCGGGUAUCAAACAGGAUUAGAUACCCUUGUAGUC
This 459-nucleotide ribosomal RNA is filed under the name uncultured bacterium. RNAcentral's name for it is "partial 16S ribosomal RNA". It matches the Rfam family "Bacterial small subunit ribosomal RNA", at positions 338 to 795 of the family's 1533-position model. The record is from RNAcentral.